Molecule: unclassified non-coding RNA, 3899 nt
Filed under: Harpegnathos saltator (Jerdon's jumping ant)
Lineage: Eukaryota; Metazoa; Arthropoda; Insecta; Hymenoptera; Formicidae
Description: protein NDRG3, transcript variant X2
Source: RNAcentral
GUAGUCGGAGCCGUGCACUCGAGCCAAUGGUGAUCGUGCAACGUCGUUGGGAACACACUGUGCGCUCCUUAACGUCAGUCUCGUCGCGGUGCUCCGUCUUUGCACGUCACGUCGUCACGUAGCGUAACGUAACGUAACGUUCUCGAGAAGAGAGACCGACGCGUUAUCGGGAAGAGACGAUCGGGCCGCGAUUCAGCUGUCAUCGUCGCGUACGACACGCGCGAUCGAUCCGAGUCACGCGAGACUCUCUCGUUUCCCUACGAGGAGGAGAGGCGCGACCGCUCGCUCAACCGAUCGCCGAGCACUCACGAUCCCGUCGGGGCCCCGUCGUCGUGCUAAUCGCGUUUAAAGACCGCGUGGAAGCUGCAACUCUUCUUCGGUUCACGUAGCCCGCAGCGGGACCCGCGCAGAACGCAGAGCUCCGGUCGCCUUCGAGGCGAGUCUUCGCCGAGAGGGCAUCCACCUGGGCGGUGGACAGCGUCAUCCGGCACGAGCAGCUCGACGGUCGACGACUAGGUCGUCGUCCAGUGAGGCAGGCGACAUCGCGGACCCAGGCAGGCCGACGAAAGGUCACGCCAUGCCGGCAGGUAUUGGCGCUUCGUACAGGUCCCUAGGCGACCUGGGCGAAGACGUCUACAAAAGCACGACCAUCGUCGACCAGACGCAGACCACCAGCCAGAGCGUCCUCGAGUCCGUGAAGAAGGCGUUUAGCUUCGCCUCGCCCAAGGUCGAGAUCCGCAAGAAGGACCCGCUGAUCGAGGACCGCCGCGAGAGCGUCUCGAUCGUCUCCAGGGAGAGAAACAGGAUGCCGACAGCAGCAGCCACCGCCGAGGAAUCUGCUCUGUUGGGCACGAUGCCCUCCGAUAGCAUGGACGACAUCGAGCUGAAGAACAUUCAGCUGCAAUUUCCGGCUCUGAGAUACCUCUCUAGGGACGACGGCUCCGUGCGGGAAGAAAGGGUGGAGACCGACAAGGGAAGUUUGCUGGUGGCGGUGCAAGGAAAUCGAGCGAAACCAGCUAUCCUCACUUAUCACGAUCUAGGCCUUAAUUACAUCUCGAGCUUCCAGGCGUUCUUCAAUUACAUCGACAUGCGUGUUCUACUCGAAAACUUCUGCGUGUACCACGUAAACGCACCCGGGCAAGAGGAGGGCGCACCGACGCUACCCGAGGACUACACCUAUCCGUCCAUGGAGGAGCUCGCGGAACAGCUGCUCUUCAUUCUCGGCCACUUUGGCAUCAAGUCCGUAAUUGGCUUCGGGGUCGGUGCCGGCGCCAAUAUCCUGGCGCGAUUCGCACUCGCCCAUCCGGAGAAAGUUAAUGCACUGUGCCUGAUAAACUGCGUGUCCACGCAGGCGGGAUGGAUCGAGUGGGGUUAUCAAAAGAUGAACGUGCGCCACCUGAGGUCGCAGGGCAUGACCCAGGGCGUCCUCGAUUAUCUGAUGUGGCAUCAUUUCGGCAGGGGGACCGAGGAGCGAAAUCAUGACCUGGUGCAGGUGUACAAGAACUACUUCGAGCGCCGCGUGAACCCGACGAAUCUCGCCUUGUUCAUCGACAGUUACGUCCGUCGCACGGAUCUCAACAUAACGAGGGAAUUGGACCCGACGCGCAAGAAGGAGGGCCUGACGCUUAGGGUGCCGGUGAUGAACAUCACCGGUGCUCUAAGCCCUCACGUCGACGACACCGUAACGUUAAACGGACGCCUGGAUCCGACGAACAGCUCCUGGAUGAAGAUAUCGGACUGCGGCAUGGUGUUGGAAGAGCAGCCCGGUAAAGUAAGCGAGGCGUUCCGGCUGUUUCUCCAGGGCGAGGGAUACGGUAAGUGAGCGUUUUCGCGAGCCAUACUCUCUAGAGAUUAAUUAAUUCACCGAACUAUCGAUUCGACAAUUCUCAUUGAUCUUCACUGGUGUAAGCAAUUCGCGCACGCGUCGUCGGGUUUCGUAAGAUGUCUCGUGAUCGCCUGCAAGCGGAAGACUGCGAGACACGUCGGUAAUUACUGCCAACUACGAUCGUAUCUAGGAGAGACUCGUGUCGGGAUGUCGUAAGAGAGCUUUCGGCGGAAACGCGGAUGUGAAUGGUAUAUAAAUCUUUUUUUCGCGAAAACAAGAACCAAACAACUUCAGCGCAUUGCAGGCGGUCGCGCAACUUCUCGCACGGCUAAACGCACGUCGAAGCGGGCAGGCGCAGGGAGACUUUGACCGUGGCUAGAGUUAAAUUCUAGAGUUAAAUUCGCUCUAUCGAUCGGUGUAUCGUGUCGCUGUCUCGAUUGAAUUUGGCCUACUGGAUCUUUAACAUAAUAAUCGUCGAUUGUCCCCGCGCGACCACAUUCCCUUUCAACGAUAGAUGCUACACGAAUAAUUCGUAAGCUCUUGCGCAGCUUGCGAGGAUCGAAAAGUACCGCGGACUCGACAAAAAUCUAAAAAUAGGAGAUCGUGAAAAUUAACAAUUGGCGAACUGUAUCGUUUCAACGACGAGUAUCUUAGUAAUACUACCGUUUGGCCGUUUGUUGCAACUCACGAUUCCUCAGAUUCCGACUGGUCUCGGGCUCGGACGACAAAGUCACGCUUGUAAAUUUCGAUCGAAUCGUUCGUGUAAUCUAACUUUAACUUUGAUAAUGACUGUGAGAGGAGGUGGUAGAGUUGAACGGUAACGGUGCAUUCGCGUGAUGCAACCUAAAUGCACGUUCUCUCUAAGUAAAUGUAUAUCAAAUCAAGACUUUGCAAAAUAGUCAUCGUUAUACGACGAGUUAACGUCUUAGCUAACUUUAAGAUGUCGAAACUUUGUUCUUUUAUAGCAAUGUUGCGUACAUUGUUUUACGUUACGGAGCGUGACUUCGCGCUGUGACAACCGUUGUGCUUACGUGAUUACGCGAGAGAAACGUUGUAGAAAGAAACUUACACUCAUGUGUAAGUUCACAAUGGAAUGACGCUUCUCUUUCUCGUCACAAGUCAGGUUUAUCGUUUCUUUCGGCUUUUUAAGUCACAAGAACACUAUGCUGAACCACUGAACAUCAUGCUUUCUCACGAGCCGUCGUAGACGAAGUCUACCCACCAAGGUCCGGCUAGAUAAUUACGCAAAUUGAUUUCACGUCGCGUGUCUUUCGGUUCUUUACCCCCGACUUGCUUUCACUCACCGAUCAGUACAAAAGUUACGUCAUUUCUCAUCAACGAAUGACCGCGAAUGACAUUCAAACACGGCCUCGAGUGAGUCGUCGCGCCAAAUAGAUCUGUCGUUUCUCGUCGCAUCGCACAUCUCGUCACCGUCGUUAACUGUGUUGUUGUUGCGAUCGUCGAAUUUCGCUAUACUAGCAGAAUUUCCACGUUGUACAAGUGACGCGAUAUUUGGACAUCGCUGAAUCCGAGUGUGAGAACAGGACUGAUAUUGCGUGUACUAUACUUCGUUUGUCGCGAUCAGAGCUGGAUGUACCACUACGACAAGAUUCACACUAAAUAAGCCGCUUUAUCUCUGUGCUGACGAAAGGCGGCGAAAGGCGCCUGAUUACACCGACAUUCAAAAAUACGUACUCGAGCAUGUAUCUCUGUUCAUUGAGAGCCAUUGGUUUGACUUGAUAAAUAAAAAAGAGUGACUCUGUGAAAAGGAAUUGCAUUGAAUUCGCCUGCGACUUUUUACCGCUAUACCGCUAUACUUUCGAGCUAUAUUAGAGAGAGAUAGAAAGAAAUAGAGAAAGAGAUAAAACAAAGAAAUAAGGCAAAUAAGAGAAAAGAGUAUUAUACAUGUUCAUCGACUUGCGCCUUUAUUUCCCACGCGUCUCGGAUCGAUCGAGUGUGGUGAGAUCCCCGCGGAAGCCCGUGAAGCCAACAACACCCGAAGUGGCCCCGCUGUCGCCGUUAAAGAUGGCCGACUACAGAUUGGCUUCGUUGGAGGGACUGAAUCACGUCUGCA